Molecule: ribosomal RNA, 424 nt
Filed under: Verrucomicrobiota bacterium
Lineage: Bacteria; Pseudomonadati; Verrucomicrobiota
Description: Verrucomicrobia bacterium partial 16S ribosomal RNA
Rfam family: Bacterial small subunit ribosomal RNA
Source: RNAcentral
UGAGGAAUAUUGGUCAAUGGACGAGAGUCUGAACCAGCCAAGUAGCGUGCAGGAUGACGGCCCUAUGGGUUGUAAACUGCUUUUGUUUGGGAAUAAUCGACAUUACGUGUAAUGUUUUGCAUGUACCAUUCGAAUAAGGACCGGCUAAUUCCGUGCCAGCAGCCGCGGUAAUACGGAAGGUCCAGGCGUUAUCCGGAUUUAUUGGGUUUAAAGGGAGUGUAGGCGGUUGGUUAAGCGUGUUGUGAAAUGUAGAUGCUCAACAUCUGACUUGCAGCGCGAACUGGCUGACUUGAGUACACACAACGUAGGCGGAAUUCAUGGUGUAGCGGUGAAAUGCUUAGAUAUCAUGAAGAACUCCGAUUGCGAAGGCAGCUUACGGGAGUGUUACUGACGAUUAAGCUCGAAGGUGCGGGUAUCGAACAGG